RNAcentral lists this ribosomal RNA (401 nucleotides) under Metacrangonyx spinicaudatus. Its description in RNAcentral is "partial 16S ribosomal RNA". Lineage: Eukaryota; Metazoa; Arthropoda; Malacostraca; Amphipoda; Metacrangonyctidae. The record is from RNAcentral.
UAGCAUAAUAAAUUGUUUUUUAAUUGGAAACUGGAAUGAAAGGUUAAACAAUUUUUAAGUUUAUAUAUUUUAAUUUAUGAAUUUUUAUUAUAAGUAAAAAUACUUAUAUUAUAUAAAGGGACGAUAAGACCCUAGAAGCUUUAGUUUAUUUAAUUGCAAAAUAGUUUUAUUUAAAAUUUGUUUGAUGUGAAACUUUGAUUGGGGAAAUAAUAAUUUUAUAAAUAAUUAUUAAUAAAAUAUAUAAGUUUUUUAAUGAUCUUUAAUAUAAGAAUGAAUAGUAUUAGUUACUCUAGGGAUAACAGCGUGAUAAUUUUGGAUAGACCUUAUAUAUAAAAUUGAUUACGACCUCGAUGUUGAAUUAAAAUAUCUUUAUAAAGUAGAAAUUAUGGAAGAAGGUUUGU